Molecule: ribosomal RNA, 313 nt
Filed under: Mycobacterium leprae
Lineage: Bacteria; Bacillati; Actinomycetota; Actinomycetes; Mycobacteriales; Mycobacteriaceae
Description: bacterial SSU rRNA
Rfam family: Bacterial small subunit ribosomal RNA
Source: RNAcentral
ACGUGCUACAAUGCCGGUACAAAGGGCUNCGACUGCCGCAAGGUACAAGCGGACCCUAAAAAGCCGGCUCAGAUUGGAUCGGGGUCUGCAACUCGACCCCGUGAAGUCGGAGUCGCUAGUAAUCGCAGAUCAGCAACCUGCGGUGAAUCGUUCCCGGGCCUUGUACACACCGCCCGUCAAGUCAUGAAAGUCGGUAACACCCGAAGCCAGUGGCCNNACCCUCGGGAGGGAGCUGUCCAAGGUGGGAUNGGCGAUUGGGGUGAAGUCGUAACAAGGUAACCGUAGGGGAACCUGCGGUUGGAUCACCUCCUUA